UACGAGGGGGGCAAAUGUUGUUCGGAAUCACUGGGCGUAAAGGGAGCGUAGGCGGGUUUCUAAGUCAGGUGUUUAAUCCCGGGGCCCAACCCCGGACAGGCACUUGAAACUGGGAAUCUUGAAUAGUGGAGAGGUCAGUGGAAUUGGGGGUGUAGCGGUGGAAUGCGUAGAGAUCCCCAAGAACACCAGUUGCGAAGGCGGCUGACUGGACACAUAUUGACGCUGAGGCGCGAAAGCGUGGGGAGCAAACAGG
This 253-nucleotide ribosomal RNA is filed under the name uncultured bacterium. RNAcentral describes it as "partial 16S ribosomal RNA". It matches the Rfam family "Bacterial small subunit ribosomal RNA", at positions 524 to 776 of the family's 1533-position model. The record is from RNAcentral.